RNAcentral lists this transfer RNA (76 nucleotides) under Chloroherpeton thalassium ATCC 35110. RNAcentral's name for it is "tRNA-Ala". It matches the Rfam family "tRNA". Rfam says of the family: Transfer RNA (tRNA) molecules are approximately 80 nucleotides in length. Lineage: Bacteria; Pseudomonadati; Chlorobiota; Chlorobiia; Chlorobiales; Chloroherpetonaceae. The record is from RNAcentral.
GGGGCUUUAGCUCAGUUGGUAGAGCGUCUGCUUUGCACGCAGAAGGCCAACGGUUCGAAUCCGUUAAGCUCCACGA